Gloeophyllum trabeum ATCC 11539 is the source of this 93-nucleotide transfer RNA. It matches the Rfam family "tRNA". Rfam says of the family: Transfer RNA (tRNA) molecules are approximately 80 nucleotides in length. Their secondary structure includes four short double-helical elements and three loops (D, anti-codon, and T loops). Further hydrogen bonds mediate the characteristic L-shaped molecular structure. tRNAs have two regions of fundamental functional importance: the anti-codon, which is responsible for specific mRNA codon recognition, and the 3' end, to which the tRNAs corresponding amino acid is attached (by aminoacyl-tRNA synthetases). tRNAs cope with the degeneracy of the genetic code in two manners: having more than one tRNA (with a specific anti-codon) for a particular amino acid; and 'wobble' base-pairing, i.e. permitting non-standard base-pairing at the 3rd anti-codon position. Lineage: Eukaryota; Fungi; Basidiomycota; Agaricomycetes; Gloeophyllales; Gloeophyllaceae. The record is from Rfam.
GACAGCGUGGCCGAGUGGUUAAGGCGACAGAUUAGAAUCUGAUCUACCAUCUGUUCCGGUUUCCGGGCGUAGGUUCGAGUCCUACCGCUGUCG